GCGGUUUCAUUUGUCUGUUUUGUUUUUAAAUAGGUAGAUCAUAUAGUAAAUUUUUUUUUUUUUAAAGGAUCUAACUUUUUUUUCCUAAAUAUUAAUUUAUAAAUAUAAAUAACUUGUUUAUGUUAAUUUAUAAAUAUAAAUUGUUCUAUCUUAUCCACUCUAAAAGCAAAUUAAUUCAAAUAUAUUUUUAAUAAGAAUUUUUAUAAUCAAUUAUAAAUUUUAGGAAAAAAAAAUACACUGACAAU
Molecule: long non-coding RNA, 245 nt
Filed under: Lathyrus oleraceus (garden pea)
Lineage: Eukaryota; Viridiplantae; Streptophyta; Magnoliopsida; Fabales; Fabaceae
Description: Pisum sativum (pea) long non-coding RNA (PSAT_LNC003114)
Source: RNAcentral